This 3843-nucleotide long non-coding RNA is filed under the name Nicotiana benthamiana. Its description in RNAcentral is "long non-coding RNA (NBEN_LNC035555)". Lineage: Eukaryota; Viridiplantae; Streptophyta; Magnoliopsida; Solanales; Solanaceae. The record is from RNAcentral.
CAAGAUCUAUUUUCCUCGAUAGUAUAUAAGUUCCACCUCUUACCCAACCCCCCAAGGCAUACCUACCUUCGUCUCUAACCUAGAGACACCACAGAACCUUCCUCCCAUGACCACCAUCCUUGCCUACCGAAAAUUGCCUCACGGCAGUUCCGGUGGUCCAAACUCCACUAUUUUUACACCAUGAACUCACCUCAACCUCCUCUACCCAACCAUCACCAUAGCUCACCUCGAAUCGGACCCCAACCAUUCGAAUCUUAAAUCGAAGGUUGGCCGGAAAACCAACCUUCUUCGAUGGCCACCAAACCAACCUCCUAAGACCACCAGACCAUCCUUAUACCCAAACCAUUACCAGUUUCCUUCGAAUCAAUCGAGAAUCCUUCGAAUCUUAAUUUGUAUCCAAGAAUCCUAGCGCCGCCACAAAAUCCCCUGGUGGCGGCGCCAAACCUAAUCUUCCCCAUAUUCACACCACACCACCCCUUGACCUCCCUCAAACCCAAAACACCACUAGCCUGGUUCAAAUUAACUUAGAACCGGAGGAUCCCAAAUCAAACCAAAACCCUAAAAUAAGACCAAGUCGUAAUUGGUCCAGAAAAGGAAAAUUGGGAUGUCAAUUUACUUUGGUCGAGUGUUUUCAGCCGAUAACACUCAAUUAAAGUCCCUUUUCACCCCAAAAAGGUUCAAGUCAGAGCCCAAGUUAGGUCGUCCAGUGUCCUAUUUUCCGUGGUAUUUUCCCUUUCUUGUUUGUUUCUAUUUUUGUUUUGAUUAUCUGUUUAAGUUAAGUGAUAGUUUAAUUUCCCUCCAUCAUCGUUCUUCUUCUUCUCAAAAUAGACUCUUUUAUUUGGUCAAACUAUUUCUGUUCGUUUGUUUAGUAUGCGUUAUAGGCUAUAUAAUUGUAUUAAUUAAUUCAUCGAUUGUUUAAUUUCCUGUUAGCCCCUAUCUUUUGUCAAUAUCACUGAAAUCACCUGUAAAUUGCCUGAUAUUGUGUUUAUGAUUGUUCUAUGCAAUCGUUUAAUUAGUUUCGUCGAUUAAUUAGUUCCAUAUUAGCACCCUGUUCUGUGUAAAGUUAUUCAAAUCACAUGUUUACUUAUUUUAUUUCGAUUGUUUGUUAUAUAUAAUCAAUUGCUUAAGCCUCGUCGAUUAGGUCAUUCGUAUAGUUUUGAAUCAUUUGGCUUCCUGUUUGGCCUAUGUAAUAACAUUGGCAUUCUGUUAGUUUCUUGAUUAAUUAGGAUCUUGUUUGAUUUAUAGCUGCAAUUGGGUUACAGCUGUAGUAAUUCAAGUAUUCAAUUGGAAUUUUAGCUUAGGAGUCAAUUGUAGGUUAGAACAGAUCUUAGAAUUUGUUUACUGGAUUAGUGCAAUGAUAAUAGGAUCUUCAGGAAUUUUAGAAAUAGAAAAAUGAGAAAAUUUUGUUUACUAAUAGUAGUGGGAAGUGGGGUACCCAAUUCCAUUAAUUUAAUGUAAUAGUGGGGAACAAGAGGGAAUUGAGGAAUAAAAGAGGGAAACAUUAAGGCUUUGUGAAUAAGCAGUUCCAUAAGCUCCAGUUACAAUUCGCUGACCGAGUAGCUACAACUUCAAGAGGGGAAUUCGCGUAAAAGUGGGCUUUUGUUUUUGCUUCCUCGAACGGGUGGAGAAAGAUUUUUAUUACCCUUUAUUCCAGGGGAAGGGAGUUGGUUUAUAACCAGACUCUGAAGUUUUCUACUAGGUAGAGUAUUUCAAAAAAAUAAGCUAGAAUAGAGGGCGUGAUAGUCCAAUUCUACAUAGUUCUGUGAUCCGCCGAACGAAGUGGUUCCAACGAACCGGACCGGGAGAGAGAAAGAAUUCUUUUUUCAAGGCUGCCGGUGGGCUGGGCCCGAGCUCGGUUUGGAAGGAAGCCUCUUUAGAUGAGAAGGAGGAUGCUACCAAGGCGAGAAGGAAGAAGGGGAGUUCCACUAUCUGAGUUAGGCCGAUAUCAUUAGAUAGGUAGGCUGAUCUCCGCUUUUGGAUUCCUAUUAAGGGCAAGAGUGAGACUUGUCUAUUCCUACUAAAGGAAAGAGAUCUAACGGGAUUGAGUAGGGAAAAGUUAAUAGGCAAAGGGUAUUAGGGGGGCCGUUAAGGAAUAAGGGGUGGGCCUAAUACUUUUGCUAAUUGGAAAUUUGCAACAGUGGGUAAUAAUGAAAAGUUAAAAUGUUUCACAUAGAGAGGAAUAUUAAAAGCUAGAAAGCAAAAGAAACUUAGGGGUAAUAAUAAAAAAUCCUUCUUACAGCUAUAAAGAGAAAAAGGGGGCAGGAAAGAGGGGUCUGCUUUGGGGUAUAAAUGAGAGGAUGUAGGACAUAGUUUAGGGGACUUGGACGGAGAAUAAGAGGAUUUUUUAGAGUUAAAAAAAUACUGAGAGUACACACAUAGGAAUAAGCAGAAAGACUAAGAAGAGGUAGUCUAGAGUCUUAAGAAUUCGUAUAGGGGGUUUUCUUUUAUUAGUUUUAAAGUUCAUAUUGGCUGGCUUUUGAAUGCAAAGAUAUUAGUUUGAAAGCAAAAAAGUGUCUGGAUUUGGAAUACAAAAGUUCAGUUAGUUUUGACAGUUAAAGAACAAAAAAAUUUGCUUCCCUUUUAUUGCUGAAAUCAACAUUUGUUUCUGUUACUGUUUCAUUUAGAGCUGUUGGUAUUUUCUGGAAGUCUACUGAUCUAUUUUCUGGUUCAAACUCAAGUUCUUCGGUCAUAUUGUGGGUGUUUGUGUUGUUGUUGGUAUUUUGGUAUCAUCAUUGGUUUUCUAAUGUGUUUGUGUUGCUGGUUGGUGUUUCUGAAAAUUGCAAACUGGUUUUACUGAGUGUGCUACUGGACCUCUAUUACUCUGUUACUGUUGCUGGAUGUUGCUUUUUGCUACUGCUGUUUGUUAUUGCUGCUGACUUUUCUCUCCUUCUUCUUCUACUUUUAAUUCCAGGUACAGGUCGUGAACUAUGGAGAAGUGAUGUACAAUUUUAAGAAGUGGAAGUGAAAUUUUGUUUUUCUCCAUCUACUGUAUUUAGUCAUAGUUUAAUUCCGUUGAUUUCUAUAUUUGCUAAUUGUAUUUUGUAAUAAAAUUUGGUUUGAUGGACUGCUAGGAGUGCUUGAGUAGUUAGAUUUGUAUUUGUGGUCAAAAUAAUGGAAUGGAUCGAUAUGUACGGGAUCAUUUGAGUUUACUUGACCAGAUUCAUGUGAGUUCUAUUGGUUAAACCUUAGGUUGUAAUUAUAUUCACUAUAGUUGGUAGAACAAGGUCUUAAAUAGUUGAAGCUAACUCCACUGGUUGUUCCAAAGUAAUAAAGUUGUUUGGAUCACUAGAUGAACAUAUUGCUGAAUAGGAAUGCUAUAGGUAAUUAAACCAUGUAAUCAGUUGUUAGUUUGUCUAUUUGAAUCCAUUUCAUGAGUGUUCUAUUAAGUCAAGUCUUUGGUGCUUAAUUUCGUGCAGUCUCCUAGUUGUCAAAAAUAAUCUAAGAAUGGUAUUCUUGUUCAAUUUGUGAUCGAAUUUGGACGAAUAGUUAAAUCCGUGGUCCAAGGUGCACGUUUCAACCCGUUAGCUAAUAGCUUAAUUUUAAAUCGUCCAUCCUCUCUAGUAUUCAUAUGUUUGGUACUUAUAUUUUUCUCUGUUUUGAUUCACGGUGUCACGGCCCAAAUCCGAGGGACAUGACCGGCACUCAACCGGGUAUCCCCAGUCGGGUGGACCUGGGUGCCUUUCCUGACCCACGAGCUACCCCACAUUUUCAUUACUUACUAACCUAAUGGAAACUACAGUAUAUAAUUAAAACAACUUUUUAUAAACUAUACAUACAUAGAUCAUAUUAACGUGGUUUACAAUUUACAUCACCCAAAAUACGAGGUACAUAAUACAUGGUUCG